CUGUAAUUUAUUAGAUCACCAAAUCAGCAGGUGCUGAGAGGAAGCUAGCAUGUCUUUGGGGAUAAAUUGCUGGAGAGAAUCAUGAUACAUACAAUUAACAGAGAAGAGAAAUGAAAUUGGCAGCACCAUGGGAAACCCAACACUUGGAUGAACAGCAGUGCAUAUGGUGAAUAUGGGGGAAGAAUUCUGAAGCUGUAAUUCAGGAAUGAAUUGAAAUACUCAUUGUUCUUCCAUCCUGAUGCAAGACUUGAUGCUUUAACACCAUUAUCCUUCCAAUCUGGACACUCAGACACCGGCUCAAGAAGCAAGGCAGAGGACUACUCGGAGGCCAAGAUGCCUGGCUCGAGGAGUGCAAACCCAUGCCAUUUCCAGAAGCAUUAGACAAUUCUUCCUGGCAAUAGCUAGUAGUUACUAGAGACUGUGUUUGCUAAAGGUUAGAACACCCACAUGAGAAACAAAUGCUCCUCCCAUGAGCAUUGAGUUGACUCUCACACAU
This 496-nucleotide long non-coding RNA is filed under the name Anser brachyrhynchus (Pink-footed goose). RNAcentral's name for it is "lncRNA (ENSABRG00000003456.1)". Lineage: Eukaryota; Metazoa; Chordata; Aves; Anseriformes; Anatidae. The record is from RNAcentral.